Molecule: ribosomal RNA, 380 nt
Filed under: uncultured eukaryote
Lineage: Eukaryota
Description: partial 18S ribosomal RNA
Rfam family: Eukaryotic small subunit ribosomal RNA
Source: RNAcentral
CAAUAGCGUAUAUUAAAGUUGUUGCAGUUAAAAAGCUCGUAGUUGGAUUUGUGGCGUACGGUGUGUUCCGGGCACUUGUUGUCUGAGUAACCUGCUGUUGCCAUCCUUGGGUGGAACCUGUGUGGCAUUAGGUUGUCGUGCAGGGGAUGCCCAUCAUUUACUGUGAAAAAAUUAGAGUGUUCAAAGCAGGCUUAUGCCGUUGAAUAUAUUAGCAUGGAAUAAUGAGAUAGGACUUUUUCGCUAUUUUGUUGGUUUGCGCAAAGAGGUAAUGAUUAAUAGGGACAGUUGGGGGUAUUCGUAUUCCAUUGUCAGAGGUGAAAUUCUUGGAUUUUUGGAAGACGAACUACUGCGAAAGCAUUUACCAAGGAUGUUUUCAUUAA